GUCUUAUUGAAAAUAAUUUUAAGUCAAUCUGCCCAAUGAAUAAUUAAAUGGCUGCAGUAUAUCUGACUGUACAAAGGUAGCAUAAUCAAUUGAUUUUUAAAUGAAAUCUGGAAUGAAAGGAUUAAUGAAAUAUAUACUGUCUCAUAUUUAUUAUAUGAAUUUAAAAUUUUAAUAAAAAUGUUAAAAUUUAUUUAUGGGACGAUAAGACCCUAUAGAAUUUUAUAUUGAUUUAUUUUUAUAUUUAAUAUAAAAUUUAAAUUAAUAUUUAAUUGGGAGAAUUAUUAAAUUUAAUAAAUUUUAAUUUUUAAAAACUUAGAUUUAAGAAAUAAUUUUGAUUUAUAUUUUAUAAUUAUUAGAUUAAAUUACCUUAGGGAUAACAGCGUUAUAUUUUUUUAUAGAUCGUAUAGAAAAAAAUGAUUGCGACCUCGAUGUUGAAUUAAGAUAAAUUUUAAAUGUAGAAGUUUAAUAAUUAAGUCUGUUCGACUUUUAAAAUCUUACAUGAUUUGAGUUCAAAUCGACGUAAGU
Molecule: ribosomal RNA, 525 nt
Filed under: Tetragonisca angustula
Lineage: Eukaryota; Metazoa; Arthropoda; Insecta; Hymenoptera; Apidae
Description: partial 16S ribosomal RNA
Rfam family: Bacterial large subunit ribosomal RNA (bases 373-525)
Source: RNAcentral